CCUACGGGUGGCAGCAGUCGGGAAUAUUGCGCAAUGGAGGAAACUCUGAUGCAGUGACGCCGCGUGCGGGAAGAAGGAUUUCGGAAUGUAAAGUUCUAUCAGCAGGGAAGAAAAUGACGAGUCCUUAUCAAGUAGCCUCGGCCUAACUCCGUGCCGGAGCCGCCGUAAAUACGUGGGGGGCAGCGGUUAUCCGGAUUUAUUGGGUGUAAGGGGGGCGUAGACGGAGGAGCAAGCUAGGUGUGAAAUCCCUGGGCUCAACUCGGGAACUGCAACUAAAACUACGUCACUUGAGUGCAGGAGAGGAAAGUGGAAUUCCUAGUGUAGCGGUGAAAUGCGUAGAUAUCAGGAGGAACACCAGCGGCGAAGGCGACUUUCUGGACAGUAACUGACGUUGAGGCACGAAAGCGUGGGGAGCAAACAGGAUUAGAUACCCGUGUAGUC
This 441-nucleotide ribosomal RNA is filed under the name uncultured bacterium. Its description in RNAcentral is "partial 16S ribosomal RNA". It matches the Rfam family "Bacterial small subunit ribosomal RNA", at positions 338 to 795 of the family's 1533-position model. The record is from RNAcentral.